GAUGAACGCUGGCGGCGUGCCUAAUACAUGCAAGUCGAGCGAACAGAUGAGGAGCUUGCUCCUCUGACGUUAGCGGCGGACGGGUGAGUAACACGUGGAUAACCUACCUAUAAGACUGGGAUAACUUCGGGAAACCGGAGCUAAUACCGGAUAAUAUAUUGAACCGCAUGGUUCAAUAGUGAAAGACGGUUUUGCUGUCACUUAUAGAUGGAUCCGCGCCGCAUUAGCUAGUUGGUAAGGUAACGGCUUACCAAGGCGACGAUGCGUAGCCGACCUGAGAGGGGGAUGGGCCACACUGGAACUGAGACACGGGCCAGAACCCUACGGGAGGCAGCAGGAGGGAAUUUUCCGCAAGGGGCGAAAGCCUGACGGAGCAACGCCGGGUGAGUGAUGAAGGGCUUCGGAUCGUAAAACUUUGUUAUUAGGGAAGAAAAAAUGUGUAAGUAACUAUGCACGUUUUGACGGUACCUAAUCAAAAAGCCCCGGCUAACUACGG
RNAcentral lists this ribosomal RNA (496 nucleotides) under uncultured bacterium. RNAcentral's name for it is "partial 16S ribosomal RNA". It matches the Rfam family "Bacterial small subunit ribosomal RNA", at positions 28 to 506 of the family's 1533-position model. The record is from RNAcentral.